Molecule: long non-coding RNA, 435 nt
Organism: Columba livia (rock pigeon)
Lineage: Eukaryota; Metazoa; Chordata; Aves; Columbiformes; Columbidae
Exons: 4
Source: RefSeq, a predicted model, not a curated record
GAAGAGGGAAGAGUGGAUGUCAAGACCACUACAGGGAGAAACAUUCUCCUGGAGCCGGUGAUUUGCCUGGCAUCACCGCAUCUGUGGGACCACUUGUGGGACUUGCUGUUCUUUUUGACCUAAAAUACCACAAAAGCUUUUGCAGACAGCAAGAGGAAGAAAUGUGCUAGCAGCUGCCCCCUCUACAGAACCGUGCCAAUGGGUUCUCCAGGACCUAGGGAUAUUCCUGGAUAUCCCAGGCAAGAGGUGAGUGUGGUGAAAACAGAGAUAAACGUUUUGGACUAGUUGGCUUUGAAGAAUAUCAAAGCUGCUCUUCGUGUUGGUGUUUGAAACCCUGCAUGGUAUGACUGUUGCGAUCCUGGUGUGGAACAAACCAGCAAACACAAACAAGAAGGUUGCAAAGUGCACCAAACUUUGUCCACUCUCCUCAAGAUC